Molecule: long non-coding RNA, 507 nt
Filed under: Marmota monax (woodchuck)
Lineage: Eukaryota; Metazoa; Chordata; Mammalia; Rodentia; Sciuridae
Source: RNAcentral
UGUUAUUGUCCCUGCAAGAGGAAGAGGUUUCAUAGUGCUCUGUCUCUCUCCCCCGUGGGUGGGCACAGUGAGAUGGCAGCUAUCUGCAAGCCAACAACAGAGCUCCACGAGAACCAGAAACAGCCAGCACCUUGAUCUUGAACCUCCCACCCCCAGAACUCUGAGAAAUAAGGGUCUGUUUAAGCCACCAGUCUGCACAUUUCUUAUCUCAACUUCAGUCCAUGGCUUCCCUUCAUUCUCUUAGUUUGGGAACAGCACAGGCCGGAGAGAGACUCGCUAAUUUCAAACGUCAUCUAGUAUCAAGGGUACUACUUAGAUGACUUAUGAAAAGCAAGUGUGAUUCCUCCCAUCCCAUUAUGGCCUUCAUAGGUGAUAAAACUGCACAAUCCAUUGGGUGUCCAUGAAUCCUUUUUCUUGCCAACAUGUGGAAGUGUGCACAUAUGUUCCUUAGCCAGACAUAGGAGGCGACUCCAAAAGAGAAAAGAGCAUAAAUGACUUAGUUUUGAC